GACGAACGCUGGCGGCGUGCUUAACACAUGCAAGUCGAGCGGUAAGGCCCUUUCGGGGGUACACGAGCGGCGAACGGGUGAGUAACACGUGGGUGACCUGCCCUCAGCUCUGGGAUAAGCCUGGGAAACCGGGUCUAAUACUGGAUAUGACUCCAUGACGCAUGUUGUGGGGUGGAAAGCCUUGUGCGGCUGAGGAUGGGCCCGCGGCCUAUCAGCUUGUUGGUGGGGUGAUGGCCUACCAAGGCGACGACGGGUAGCCGGCCUGAGAGGGCGACCGGCCACACUGGGACUGAGACACGGCCCAGACUCCUACGGGAGGCAGCAGUGGGGAAUCUUGCGCAAUGGGCGAAAGCCUGACGCAGCGACGCCGCGUGAGGGAUGACGGCCCUCGGGUUGUAAACCUCUUUCAGCUCCGACGAAGCGAGAGUGACGGUAGGAGCAGAAGAAG
RNAcentral lists this ribosomal RNA (448 nucleotides) under uncultured bacterium. Its description in RNAcentral is "bacterial SSU rRNA". It matches the Rfam family "Bacterial small subunit ribosomal RNA", at positions 28 to 490 of the family's 1533-position model. The record is from RNAcentral.